ACACGACUACAUUAGAUACCCCCGUAGUCCCAGCCCUAAACGAUGCGCGUUAGGUGUAUCGGUGACCACGAGUCACCGAGGUGCCGAAGGGAAACCGUGAAACGUGCCGCCUGGGAAGUACGGUCGCAAGGCUGAGACUUAAAGGAAUUGGCGGGGGAGCACCACAACGGGUGGAGCCUGCGGUUUAAUUGGACUCAACGCCGGGAAGCUUACCGGAUAAGACAGCGGAAUGAUUGCCGGGCUGAAGACCCUGCAUGACCAGCUG
This 265-nucleotide ribosomal RNA is filed under the name uncultured archaeon. RNAcentral's name for it is "partial 16S ribosomal RNA". It matches the Rfam family "Archaeal small subunit ribosomal RNA", at positions 717 to 982 of the family's 1478-position model. The record is from RNAcentral.